Molecule: long non-coding RNA, 768 nt
Organism: Cicer arietinum (chickpea)
Lineage: Eukaryota; Viridiplantae; Streptophyta; Magnoliopsida; Fabales; Fabaceae
Source: RefSeq, a predicted model, not a curated record
AAACAAUAAAAAUCCUUCAGUUUUUUUUUUACCCUAACCCUCCCUUCCCUCUCUCUUUUUCUCUUCACCCUAAUUCUUCCCGCCGGCCGGCAGCCUUGCGUCACGCCCUCCUCAUCCCUUCUCAACGCCGCGACGCUUCCAUUCUCCGUCCUCCCUCUCGUUUUCCCUCACUCACUAGAAAAACCUUCUCUUUUCCUUUCCAUUGCUCUCCAGUUUGCUCUCCUUCACUCUUGGUUCCUACCGUCCACCGCCACAAACCUACCACCACAUUCACGAACUCACUACCACCAUUCUUCUCUGUUCAUCUUCGUGUCAUCUCUCCUCGUUUCUCAUUUUCCAGCACCAUCCAAAACUCUAUUGACGUCUUCAACUGAAUCAUCGAUUGAUUUUGAUUUUUUUUGCUCAUUUGGCAAAGUUGGUAUGGAUCAUUGAAGACUAGCAUUAGUGAGGCAUUCUGUGAUAUGACAAAUUUGGAAAUCAGGGAAUGAUGAUAUUUUCUCUACAAAGGUUUGUUGUGUUGACAAAGAGUGGAUCAAAUGCAACAUUUCUUCUUGGAAUGGAUUUUGGCUAAGUCCUUAGGAUAUCAUCGUGUACAUUUUAUGAAUGGGUAUCGCGUCCCUCCUUAUGUUUCCUCGUUUGGUUUAUGUUGUAAUGGAUUGGAGUAGGUUUUGCCUUAUUUUUGCUUUGGUUAUCUCGUUUGGUUUUUAUUGUAAUAGGUUGGAACAUUCACUGUACUCAUUUUCAAUAUAUAUAUAGUCUUCCUUACCA